GCCCUAUAUACGCGGCCAGUUGAAAUGGGAGCGUAGCGUGUCUCUCGAUUUCUCCGUUCCGAACGUUCCUGGAAUCCUCUCUGAAAUAGAUCCACCGAUGAAUGGCCCGCUCGUUUCUAGUAUAUAACAUUUAUCAUCUUCUAGUCUCUGGAUGGUCGUGGUUAAGCUUUCUAAUUUACCUUCGCGGCGACAUUAUAAAAUCAUUUGUGCAUUCCUGCCAAAGUGCGCUUAAUAGUUACAAAUUACUUGGAUAGACUCUGUAGGUUAUGCAGAAAAUAUUAUUUUCAACAGAGAGAGAGAGAGAGAAAGAGAGAUUCAGCAGUUGCGCCUCUUUCGCAAUUUAACGUUUGAAUUAAAAUUGCGCUCGCAUUGAGCGUAUAUCGUUUCAAGGAAAUCGUUCCAAUGCAUCUAUCGCUGCUUCAAUUAUUACCACUGCAUUGUUACACUAGCUUAUUUAGCGAUAAUUGGUACUCCAUAAUACUGUUGCGGAUUGAACAGCCCGUUAUAUAGUUCCAUUUAACUUGCGUAGGCGAGUAAAAAUAUAAUAAAAAAAAUUCAUUGAUUAUGAUUUUAUGAUGAAAUUAAAGGCUUUGAUCAAUUCUUUGUUCGUACGGUGUUUCGAAAAGUAUCGAGUUUGACAAUCCUUGAAAUAAAUUUUAAUUUAAAAAAAAAACAAAGGAAUAAGAGUGACUUUAUCGACCGAGAUUCGAUGUAAAUUUUUUACGUGUUCAAAUUACUUACUCGUUCUUUUCUACAUUGCAAUUUUAUCUGUGUUUUUGAAUAAAAUAUACUAUUAGAAAUACUUUUCUCAAAAAUAUAAGCAUCUGUCUGUGUUAGAAUAUUAUUUUUAACUAUACUAUACUUAAAUAUACACGAUCGUAUAUUUUAAUAAUUUCACAUCGACGUAAUUUUUCACGAAGUUUGAACGCAAAAUUUGAUUACGUAACAUCGUGCGUACCGCCACGAUAAAUCAUUGCAAAAAUUGCACGCAUUAACUUUAAUGUAUACGUGCAAAUAAACAAGUGUAUAUGUUAACUGGUGUCGUCGCCGAUGACAGUUACUAAAUUACCAAUGAUUUCAGAUUCGUUUCGACGUACUUCUUCGACGCUGUGUACGCGUAAAUAAUACGUUUUUAACAAACAAAAUGGGACUCGUCUUUGCCAUUAUUGUCUAUUUCACCAAACUGUGCAUACAUACAUUUACUUCUCACUUUUAACCACGUGAGAAAUAUUUUGUAAAGAUUUUUUAUUUUUCAAACUUUCGGUGCAUGAAAACUUUUUUAAGCGUAUCAAAGCUCGAAGAAUACGAUGGAACAGUUCAACCUAAAAAAAAAAAAAAAGUACGAUUUCUAUAAAACCCGUCAAUUUACCACGAAAUCUCCCCCACUAGGUCCCCAUAAAUGCACAAUGGGACGCAUUGUAUUCCUAAUAACGGAAUCGGCCUCCACCCAUUGUUCAGGAAACAUAAAAGGUUUCUGGAAAUGUGCGAUCUACGAACACACGUUUCUCUGUCGGCCGUUACAGUCGCAUCUUUUAUUAUCGAAAUAAAUUUCAACACGAAAAUCCAAUUAAAAUGAUUUUUAACGUUUCUUAGGCAACGAAAUAUUAAGUGCACAUAUAUAUAUAUUUUUUUUUUCUAUUGAAAUUUAGAGAAAUCAUUUUAGAAAAAAAAUGUAUGUUUAUAAAUAAAAGUUAUUAAGCGGUUGGAGAUAGCGCGAUCGAUAAAUGAACAAACGCGAGAAAAUUGACCAGCGGAUACGAAUGGUCGCGUGAAAGAAACGUCACAUGAUCUACUAGGAUAUAGGCUUCAAACUUAUGACUCACGGCCAGGUGUUGCUCUUUUGGACUACGUGCAUCGUCGAUAGGCAAUAAUUUUUUUUGAAUUGUAAUAAAAUGCAGGGUGGAAAUGCAGGCCGUGUAAUUAUGUACGAUUCUUUUUAUCGCUUUUUCUAAUCGCUUUCGCAAUCGUCGAAAAUAAAAGCAACGAGAAUUUUAAAAAGAGAACGAUCUCCUUAUCAAGAUUGAAACAUAAACGGCAUCAUUAAUCAUUUUUCGUAUAAAUAUAUACAUUUAAAAAUAAUUCUAAUGUUUUUAAAAUUGCUCGUAUCGUUAUUAUUUACAUAACACGAACGUUGUGUUAAUUUUUAAUCACUUAUCCAGCUGAUACUUAUUGCCCGUGUUAAGAUACACGGCGUGCAUAACAACAAGUUUUAUCGUUUAAAAAAACUCGUUUGAAACUCGUUUUAUCGUAAAAAUGAUGUGUAUAAAGAAAAAAGGAAAAAAAGUUUGGUAAUUAAAUUUUUAUUAAAGGCUCGACGAACGUUGAAAAACAUUCUUGUUAGAGUUUAUAUUUAGAGAUGUAUAUUGACGGAUUAAAAAAAAAAUCUUCUUAAGAUAAAUAGAGGCAGAAUUCUUGAAAAGAAGAUUAAGUUUACAGAUAAGAUUUCACCGUUUCCGAUGAAAAUGUCUAAAAAAUAAAUGGCCUCGGGGCAUAUUGGAAUCUAGAGUGAAUCGGAAAGUUUUGCAAAAUGUUUGAAAGGGAGGAGGGACGAAGGGAGUGUAGCGUAUUUUGUUAAGAGAAACUCGUAUUGUACGACCAGCUGGAUUCUUACGGAUUUAUUCUUGGAAUUGAACAAGAAUAACGUGUCUUAGGUACGCGUGGCUCUUUCUCUUUCUCUCUUCGUUUCACUCGCUCGCUCGCUUUCUUUCUCUACUUCUCUCUCUUUUCCUCCUUCUCUUCUUCAUCUCUCUCUCUCUCUCUGUCUCCGUUUUCUUUUUUUUUCUCUCUCAUUCUCGACCAUUCCCUUACCAGAAUUCUGCAUUAAUCGUCGGAUACAAUUAUUAUCUUUAUUUUUUUUUUAUCUUUUCUGGAUAUUCAUAUAGAUCUAAUGCAAGAAGAAGAAAAAGAAAUGAAAAAAGAAUAAAUAAAAUUCGUACGCGAAGAUAAAUCAAAGUAUCUGAAUAUAACGUGUUAUUUAUAGCUCGUAAAAAUAUUCGAUAUAUUUCUUCUAUUUUGAAUCUAUUUUUAUAUAUGUGUUUGGUUUCAAUAGGAGGAUAAAAAUGUGAAUAAACCAAAAAUGUAUAUAACAGACUGCUUUCCUCGGAAGUCAAUUAAAAUUAUCCUCGACAUCGUUGCAUGCAUAAAACACUUGAAUUAAUCGUUGAAUAUCAUUGACACGUGUUAUUUAUAAAAGUUCAAUUCGUUAUUGAAAGAAAGAAUUUUUCGAUAAAAUAAAUAUAUAUAUAUAUACAUGUUUUAUUCAAUUUCAAAAAAAGAAACGAUUCGCUUCGUUCCGACGAAUCGUUUAUAAACAAACGCGUUACGCGGGUUACGUAUAUACGAGAUUAAAAAGAUCGAUAAAUUUUUAAAAAAAUAUGAUACAUUUCCAUUUUCGAGAAAAAUUUACAAUUUUUGUCGAAAUCGAUUUCGUUAUUCGAAAAGAAACUUCUGACCGUAUAACAGUUCGUGAAAUGUUUGCCAAUGUCGAGUAAGCGCGGUGGGGAAGGGAGGAGGGAGUACGUAGUUAGUCUGGCAGCGGCAAUCGAUUGGCAGCCAAGAUCGUACGGCGUCAAAUCGUCGGAAUUCGUGACGUUUCGUCGAGAAGCCCACGGAAAUACGAACUCGUAAGCGAGAACGAUGACGCGAUAGCGCAGACGAGAUCGCACGUAAACCAGUUAAAAGGAAUCCAUUUUUCCGCGAGCCAUGUGCUCCGUCGCGCAUGCGAUAGCGAUAGCUUUAACGGUCUCACCGUUAAUACGUGUUAUUCCCUCUUGUACGAUAAUUGCAUUUAAUUUAAAGUGAUUUGCAUAUAUGGCACAAUUGAUGUAAUAAUAUUUUAUUAAAGAAAUUACUUCUGUGUAUACUAUCGUGGAAUAAAACGCGACGAAUCAAAUUUAUCACACUUUAUUUCUAUUAUUAAAUCAACGAAAGCGUAUCGAGUAUUCGAAAUUACGGCGUGUUACGAUGUAGGAAUCUUUAUGAAAAUUUUUUUUUUCAAUAUUUCAUUUGUAUUUUGUUAUCGUGUUUCGUCUACAAGUUAAAAAAAUUUAUACGAAGAAAUACAUUUCCAAGAAAGAAGUGUUCAAUUUUCUUUCUGUGUUGCACAAUAUUUAUCUGAUCGAGUAUUCCACGAUUUCCCCACCACUCGCAGCAGGAUCACGUGUUUACCCCCACCGCGUUUCUCUACAUAGCAAUUAUAGAUUCAUUCAGUGGUAGCAGCGCCAGUGCUAUCCCGACUCUCGCGUCGAAGGGAUUGAUCUUGUGUCUUUUCGAUAUUGACAAUUCUUUGGACGUAGACGCUGUGCAUUCGUAGAAAAAAACUCUCUUAUUUAUUACCGAAAUAUUUUUGUUUCCAAUUUUUUAAGAUCGAAGAAUUCGAUAGUUUGAUAUAUACUAUAUAUAUAUAUAUAUAUAUA
Long non-coding RNA from Apis cerana (Asiatic honeybee), 4415 nucleotides. RefSeq lists it as uncharacterized. The record is from RefSeq and is a predicted model, not a curated record. NCBI's taxonomy places the organism in Eukaryota, Metazoa, Arthropoda, Insecta, Hymenoptera, Apidae.